UACGUAUGGGGCAAGCGUUAUCCGGAUUUACUGGGUGUAAAGGGAGCGUAGACGGCGAUGCAAGUCUGAAGUGAAAGCCCGGGGCUCAACCCCGGGACUGCUUUGGAAACUGUAUGGCUGGAGUGCUGGAGAGGCAAGCGGAAUUCCUAGUGUAGCGGUGAAAUGCGUAGAUAUUAGGAAGAACACCAGUGGCGAAGGCGGCUUGCUGGACAGUAACUGACGUUGAGGCUCGAAAGCGUGGGGAGCAAACAGG
This 253-nucleotide ribosomal RNA is filed under the name uncultured bacterium. RNAcentral's name for it is "partial 16S ribosomal RNA". It matches the Rfam family "Bacterial small subunit ribosomal RNA", at positions 524 to 776 of the family's 1533-position model. The record is from RNAcentral.